ACCAUCAUUCAUGGACUGCCAGCAAGUAGGGUUGUUCAAGAAUAGAAUGUGACGCUCUCUCUACACUCUUUGACUCAUAACACCUACAUAUUUCCCCUGCCAUUGAGUUGUGCAGACACUUUACUUAAACCCAUACGUCCAUACCUCGUUAGCAUGAUGGCCUCCUUGGAUAGGUGGUGUCUUAUCGCGUCUGGAGGAGACAGUGGAUGCCUAUAUCCUGGUGAUGUUUUCUAUCUGACCGGGGAGAAUAAUCUGCAAAACUUGAGACUCUGUCUAUCCUUCUUUUUUUUUUUUUUGCAUGGAAAAUGCUUUCAUUGC
RNAcentral lists this small RNA (318 nucleotides) under Histoplasma ohiense. RNAcentral's name for it is "hypothetical lncRNA". The record is from RNAcentral. Lineage: Eukaryota; Fungi; Ascomycota; Eurotiomycetes; Onygenales; Ajellomycetaceae.